CGACCCCAGGUCAGGCGGGGCUACCCGCUGAGUUUAAGCAUAUCAAUAAGCGGAGGAGAAGAAACUUACAAGGAUUCCCCUAGUAACGGCGAGCGAACCGGGAAGAGCCCAGCUUUAAAAUCGGGCGGCCUUGUCGUUCGA
RNAcentral lists this ribosomal RNA (141 nucleotides) under Portulaca grandiflora. Its description in RNAcentral is "partial 28S ribosomal RNA". It matches the Rfam family "Eukaryotic large subunit ribosomal RNA", at positions 1 to 141 of the family's 3401-position model. The record is from RNAcentral. Lineage: Eukaryota; Viridiplantae; Streptophyta; Magnoliopsida; Caryophyllales; Portulacaceae.